GGCACUAUAGCCAAGUGGUUAAGGCGAUAGAUUCGAAUUAUAAUCCAUCUAUUACUCUCUGAGUGCGCAGGUUCAAAUCCUGCUGGUGUCG
Non-coding RNA from Armillaria mellea, 91 nucleotides. NCBI's taxonomy places the organism in Eukaryota, Fungi, Basidiomycota, Agaricomycetes, Agaricales, Physalacriaceae. The record is from the annotation of a GenBank genome assembly.